RNAcentral lists this ribosomal RNA (460 nucleotides) under uncultured bacterium. Its description in RNAcentral is "partial 16S ribosomal RNA". It matches the Rfam family "Bacterial small subunit ribosomal RNA", at positions 338 to 795 of the family's 1533-position model. The record is from RNAcentral.
CCUACGGGAGGCAGCAGUGAGGAAUAUUGGUCAAUGGGCUUACGCCUGAACCAGCCAAGUCGCGUGAGGGAAGACUGCCCUAUGGGUUGUAAACCUCUUUUGUCAGGGAGCAACGCCGGCUACGUGUAGCCGGACUGAGAGUACCUGAAGAAAAAGCAUCGGCUAACUCCGUGCCAGCAGCCGCGGUAAUACGGAGGAUGCGAGCGUUAUCCGGAUUUAUUGGGUUUAAAGGGUGCGUAGGCGGAAUGCCAAGUCAGCGGUAAAAUCGGGGGGCUCAACCUCGCUCCGCCGUUGAAACUGGCGGUCUUGAGUGGGCGAGAAGUAUGCGGAAUGCGUGGUGUAGCGGUGAAAUGCAUAGAUAUCACGCAGAACUCCGAUUGCGAAGGCAGCAUACCGGCGCCCAACUGACGCUGAAGCACGAAAGCGUGGGUAUCGAACAGGAUUAGAUACCCUAGUAGUC